Molecule: ribosomal RNA, 503 nt
Filed under: Ancyridris cf. polyrhachioides AL-2010
Lineage: Eukaryota; Metazoa; Arthropoda; Insecta; Hymenoptera; Formicidae
Description: eukaryotic LSU rRNA
Source: RNAcentral
AAACCGUUCAGGGGUAAACCUAAGAAACCCAAAAGAUCGAACGGGGAGAUUCAUCGUCAGCGACGCUGGCUUCGCGUCGGUGGGCGAUGUCCCGCGGGGCCUCGCGGCUCGCGCGCGGGCACGCUGCCGUGCGUCGAUGUCCGGCGUUCGUCGUCGUGCACUUCUCCCCUAGUAGAACGUCGCGACCCGCUGGGUGUCGGUCUACGGCCCGGGUGCGGUGACUGACGCGUCGCCGGUAAAACGGCACUCGUCAAACCCCCGGUCGCCCGGCCGGCUGCCCGGCGGUACACGCAAGGUAUCAGGCCGCACCUUACUCUACGAGUGCGUCGAGGCCGUCGCAAGCGCGCGCCACGGUACACGGAGGCUAACGGACCUAGCGCCGUCACCGGUCCUGGCCCGCUGUUGGUCGUACGGUUAACCUUCGACAGGCCUACGAACGUCCCCCGGGAAAUCCGGGGGACCGAUACCGGUCGGCGACGCUACUGCUUUGGGUACUCUUAGGA